GACGAACGCUGGCGGCGUGCCUAACACAUGCAAGUCGAACGGAAAGGCCCUGCUUUCGUGGGGUGCCCGAGGGGCGAACGGGUGUGUAACAUGUGAGUAACCUGCCCUUGACUUUGGGAUAACUUCAGGAAAGUGCGGCUAAUACCGGCUAGGAGCUCCUGCUGGAGGGUGGGGGUUGGAAAGUUUGGGCGGAGGGGGAUGGACGCCCGGGUUAUCAGCUGGUUGGUGGGGUAGUGGCUUACCAAGGCAUUGACGGAUAGCCGGCCUGAGAGGGUGACCGGCCACCUUGGGACUGAGGGACGGCGCAGACUGGUACGGGAGGCAGCAGGGGGGAACAUUGCACAGUGGGCGCGAGCCUGAUGCGGAGGCCCCGCGUGCGGAAAGACGGCCUUGGGGUUGGGAACCGCAUUCGCCUGAGACGAAGCGUGUGUGACGGUAAUAGGUGAAGAAGCACCGGCUAACUACGUG
RNAcentral lists this ribosomal RNA (468 nucleotides) under uncultured bacterium. RNAcentral describes it as "partial 16S ribosomal RNA". It matches the Rfam family "Bacterial small subunit ribosomal RNA", at positions 28 to 507 of the family's 1533-position model. The record is from RNAcentral.